GCAGACUCACUCUGCGAUUGGCUGCAGGCUCCAGGAGGUGCUUUCCUGUCAGCCAGAGAAUAUCCCAGGGAGCUGUGGGAGUCUCCACCUCUAAAGAGAGUGUUGCAACUUACUGAGGAUGAAGGA
This is a small nucleolar RNA of Octodon degus (degu), 126 nucleotides long. The record is from Ensembl. Lineage: Eukaryota; Metazoa; Chordata; Mammalia; Rodentia; Octodontidae.